This 497-nucleotide ribosomal RNA is filed under the name uncultured bacterium. Its description in RNAcentral is "partial 16S ribosomal RNA". It matches the Rfam family "Bacterial small subunit ribosomal RNA", at positions 28 to 507 of the family's 1533-position model. The record is from RNAcentral.
GAUGAACGCUGGCGGCGUGCCUAAUACAUGCAAGUCGAGCGAACAGACGAGGAGCUUGCUCCUCUGACGUUAGCGGCGGACGGGUGAGUAACACGUGGAUAACCUACCUAUAAGACUGGGAUAACUUCGGGAAACCGGAGCUAAUACCGGAUAAUAUAUUGAACCGCAUGGUUCAAUAGUGAAAGACGGUUUUGCUGUCACUUAUAGAUGGAUCCGCGCCGCAUUAGCUAGUUGGUAAGGUAACGGCUCACCAAGGCAACGAUGCGUAGCCGACCUGAGAGGGUGAUCGGCCACACUGGAACUGAGACACGGCCCAGACUCCUACGGGAGGCAGCAGUGGGGAAUAUUCGACAAUGGGCGAAAGCCUGAUGGAGCCAUGCCGCGUGUGUGAAGAAGGUCUUCGGAUUGUAAAGCACUUUAAGUGGGGAGGAAGAGAAGUAAGUUAAUAUCUUGCUGUUUUGACGUUACCAAAACAAAAAGCACCGGCUAACUUCGUG